UCUAUUAGAUCGCAUGAUUUGAUAGAUAAAACUCCGGUGGUUAUAGAUGGGCAUGCGUGACAUUAGCUAGUUGGUGAGGUAACGGCUCACCAAGGCAACGAUGUCUAGGGGUUCUGAGAGGAUGAUCCCCCACACUGGUACUGAGACACGGACCAGACUCCUACGGGAGGCAGCAGUGAGGAAUAUUGGUCAAUGGGCGCAAGCCUGAACCAGCCAUCCCGCGUGCAGGAUGAAGGCCCUAUGGGUCGUAAACUGCUUUUAUACACCAAGAAAAACUCCGAUGCGUUGGGGCUUGACGGUAGUGUAUGAAUAAGCAUCGGCUAACUCCGUGCCAGCAGCCGCGGUAAUACGGAGGAUGCAAGCGUUAUCCGGAUUCAUUGGGUUUAAAGGGUGCGUAGGCGGCUUUUUAAGUCAGUGGUGAAAUCCUGCCGCUUAACGGUAGAAUUGCCAUUGAUACUGAAGAGCUUGAGUCCAGUUGAGGUAAGCGGAAUGUGUAGUGUAGCGGUGAAAUGCUUAGAUAUUACACAGAACACCAAUUGCGAAGGCAGCUUACUAAACUGUCACUGACGCUGAUGCACGAAAGCGUGGGGAGCGAACAGGAUUAGAUACCCUGGUAGUCCACGCCGUAAACGAUGCUCACUCGCUGUUUGCGAUACACAGCAAGCGGCCAAGCGAAAGCAUUAAGUGAGCCAC
Molecule: ribosomal RNA, 693 nt
Filed under: uncultured bacterium
Lineage: Bacteria
Description: bacterial SSU rRNA
Rfam family: Bacterial small subunit ribosomal RNA
Source: RNAcentral